RNAcentral lists this long non-coding RNA (610 nucleotides) under Capra hircus (goat). RNAcentral's name for it is "lncRNA (ENSCHIG00000007160.1)". The record is from RNAcentral. Lineage: Eukaryota; Metazoa; Chordata; Mammalia; Artiodactyla; Bovidae.
GCAGGGUCUUGAACGCUGAGCCAGUGGACCGUUAGUGGUCCUACUUAGUCAUUGGUCAGCGCCGCGCUGGACCCGCCCACAAGCAACCGUCAAAGAGCCGCCAGUUAGCGAGUGCGUUGAGUCAACGGUGGGCCUGCGCAAAGUGGCGGUCUUCAUACAGAGAGCAAGGCAGAGAAGAAGGUUCAAAGGCCCAGAACUAGCAUGUGUGGCUGGAGUGUAACCUCUCUGGGGUACAAACAGGGCAAGAGAUGUGACAGAGAAGCCGACCAGGUCACAGAGUGCCCUCCUCACAGUCCAAAGGACAAUGCGCAGAGGGUAGAGAUUCCCUCCCUCAUGGAAUUCAUCAGACUUGGAUAGACCAUUUGAUGUUUAGUUUGAGGGAACAAGCACUGGCACAAGGUCAGUGAACUUCUGCAAAGUUUGACUCACUUUCUUUGCAUUUAGGGGGUGGGUAUCCUCUCAGCCCUUGGGGCAGCUGGGUGCAGCCUGGGGGAUACUUUCAUGAUUGAUGAUACAAGAACCUCUCAAGGCCUGGCUUUCUUUUAUUUUAAGAGAGGAUUUUAAAAAAAAAUAUUUAUUUUUAUUUUUGUCUGCAAUGAGUCUUAGUUUA